Molecule: long non-coding RNA, 211 nt
Organism: Morone saxatilis (striped sea-bass)
Lineage: Eukaryota; Metazoa; Chordata; Actinopteri; Moronidae
Exons: 3
Source: RefSeq, a predicted model, not a curated record
AUGCUGAUAAGAACUAAUUUCCUCUAUUGCAGAUGAGGCUGAAGGAGGUUGGUCAGCUUGUGAGGUGGUUGGUGGAUUCUGCAAACCUCCUGGAACAUGUGGCGUGAGGGGACACCUGAAUGCUGCCUGUCCUAACGGAUUAUUUUGCUGUUUUUAUGCCUAACGAAGGACAAUAGAACAACGGCAUCAAUAAAUAACAACCUGACCUGCA